GACGAACGCUGGCGGCGCGCCUAACACAUGCAAGUCGAACGAGCGAGAGAGAGCUUGCUUUCUCGAGCGAGUGGCGAACGGGUGAGUAACGCGUGAGGAACCUGCCUCAAAGAGGGGGACAACAGUUGGAAACGACUGCUAAUACCGCAUAAGCCCACGACCCGGCAUCGGGUCGAGGGAAAAGGAGCAAUCCGCUUUGAGAUGGCCUCGCGUCCGAUUAGCUAGUUGGUGAGGUAACGGCCCACCAAGGCGACGAUCGGUAGCCGGACUGAGAGGUUGAACGGCCACAUUGGGACUGAGACACGGCCCAGACUCCUACGGGAGGCAGCAGUGGGGAAUACUGCACAAUGGGGGAAACCCUGAUGCAGCGACGCCGCGUGGAGGAAGAAGGUCUUCGGAUUGUAAACUCCUGUUGUUGAGGAAGAUAAUGACGGUACUCAACAAGGAAGUGACGGCUAACUACGUG
Molecule: ribosomal RNA, 466 nt
Filed under: uncultured bacterium
Lineage: Bacteria
Description: partial 16S ribosomal RNA
Rfam family: Bacterial small subunit ribosomal RNA
Source: RNAcentral